Molecule: ribosomal RNA, 1454 nt
Filed under: uncultured Massilia sp.
Lineage: Bacteria; Pseudomonadati; Pseudomonadota; Betaproteobacteria; Burkholderiales; Oxalobacteraceae
Description: 16S ribosomal RNA
Rfam family: Bacterial small subunit ribosomal RNA
Source: RNAcentral
GAGUUUGAUUCAUGGCUCAGAAUUGAACGCUGGCGGCAUGCUUUACACAUGCAAGUCGAACGGUAACAGGGAGCUUGCUCCGCUGACGAGUGGCGAACGGGUGAGUAAUAUAUCGGAACGUACCCAAGAGUGGGGGAUAACGUAGCGAAAGUUACGCUAAUACCGCAUACGAUCUAUGGAUGAAAGCAGGGGACCUUCGGGCCUUGUGCUCCUGGAGCGGCCGAUAUCUGAUUAGCUAGUUGGUGAGGUAAAGGCUCACCAAGGCGACGAUCAGUAGCUGGUCUGAGAGGACGACCAGCCACACUGGAACUGAGACACGGUCCAGACUCCUACGGGAGGCAGCAGUGGGGAAUUUUGGACAAUGGGCGCAAGCCUGAUCCAGCAAUGCCGCGUGAGUGAAGAAGGCCUUCGGGUUGUAAAGCUCUUUUGUCAGGGAAGAAACGGCUGUGGCUAAUAUCCACGGCUAAUGACGGUACCUGAAGAAUAAGCACCGGCUAACUACGUGCCAGCAGCCGCGGUAAUACGUAGGGUGCAAGCGUUAAUCGGAAUUACUGGGCGUAAAGCGUGCGCAGGCGGUUUUGAAAGUCUGUCGUGAAAUCCCCGGGCUCAACCUGGGAAUUGCGAUGGAGACUGCAAAGCUAGAAUCUGGCAGAGGGGGGUAGAAUUCCACGUGUAGCAGUGAAAUGCGUAGAGAUGUGGAGGAACACGAUGGCGAAGNCAGCCCCCUGGGUCAAGAUUGACGCUCAUGCACGAAAGCGUGGGAGCAAACAGGAUUAGAUACCCUGGUAGUCCACGCCCUAAACGAUGUCUACUAGUUGUCGGGUUUUAAUUAACUUGGUAACGCAGCUAACGCGUGAAGUAGACCGCCUGGGGAGUACGGUCGCAAGAUUAAAACUCAAAGGAAUUGACGGGGACCCGCACAAGCGGUGGAUGAUGUGGAUUAAUUCGAUGCAACGCGAAAAACCUUACCUACCCUUGACAUGUCAGGAAGACCGGAGAGAUCUGGUUGUGCCCGAAAGGGAACCUGAACACAGGUGCUGCAUGGCUGUCGUCAGCUCGUGUCGUGAGAUGUUGGGUUAAGUCCCGCAACGAGCGCAACCCUUGUCAUUAGUUGCUACGCAAGAGCACUCUAAUGAGACUGCCGGUGACAAACCGGAGGAAGGUGGGGAUGACGUCAAGUCCUCAUGGCCCUUAUGGGUAGGGCUUCACACGUCAUACAAUGGUACAUACAGAGGGCCGCCAACCCGCGAGGGGGAGCUAAUCCCAGAAAGUGUAUCGUAGUCCGGAUCGUAGUCUGCAACUCGACUACGUGAAGUUGGAAUCGCUAGUAAUCGCGGAUCAGCAUGCCGCGGUGAAUACGUUCCCGGGUCUUGUACACACCGCCCGUCACACCAUGGGAGCGGGUUUUACCAGAAGUAGGUAGCUUAACCGCAAGGAGGCGCUUACCACGGUAG